UACGGGGGGAGCAAGCGUUGUUCGGAUUUACUGGGCGUAAAGGGCGCGUAGGCGGCACUGCAAGUCAGUUGUGAAAUCUCCGGGCUUAACCCGGAAAGGUCAACUGAUACUGCAGGGCUAGAGUGCAGAAGGGGCAACUGGAAUUCUCGGUGUAGCGGUGAAAUGCGUAGAUAUCGAGAGGAACACCUGCGGCGAAGGCGGGUUGCUGGGCUGACACUGACGCUGAGGCGCGAAAGCCAGGGGAGUGAACGGG
RNAcentral lists this ribosomal RNA (253 nucleotides) under uncultured bacterium. RNAcentral describes it as "partial 16S ribosomal RNA". It matches the Rfam family "Bacterial small subunit ribosomal RNA", at positions 524 to 776 of the family's 1533-position model. The record is from RNAcentral.